ACGGGUGAGUAAAGCGCAGGAAUAUGCCCUAUAGUGGGGGAUAACCUGGGGAAACCCAGGCUAAUACCGCAUGAGCUCUGAGGAGGAAAGCUGGGGACCCGAGAGGGCCUGGCGCUAUAGGAGUAGCCUGCGUCCGAUUAGCUGGUUGGUGAGGUAAAGGCUUACCAAGGCGAGGAUCGGUAGCUGGUCUGAGAGGACGAACAGCCACACUGGGACUGAGACACGGCCCAGACUCCUACGGGAGGCAGCAGUGGGGAAUAUUGGACAAUGGGGGCAACCCUGAUCCAGCGAUGCCGCGUGUGUGAAGAAGGCCUGAGGGUUGUAAAGCACUUUCAGCGGGGAGGAGGGUUUAUAGGUUAAGAGCUGAUAAACUGGACGUUACCUGCAGAAGAAGCACCGGCUAACUCCGUGCCAGCAGCCGCGGUAAUACGGAGGGUGCGAGCGUUAAUCGGAAUUACUGGGCGUAAAGGGUGCGCAGGUGGUUUAUCAAGUCAUGCGUAGAAUCCCCGGGCUCAACCUGGGAAUGUCGUGUGAUACUGGUGAACUGGAGUACGGGAGAGGGCAGUGGAAUUUCCGG
Molecule: ribosomal RNA, 577 nt
Filed under: uncultured bacterium
Lineage: Bacteria
Description: bacterial SSU rRNA
Rfam family: Bacterial small subunit ribosomal RNA
Source: RNAcentral